RNAcentral lists this long non-coding RNA (424 nucleotides) under Selaginella moellendorffii. RNAcentral's name for it is "long non-coding RNA (SMOE_LNC002248)". The record is from RNAcentral. Lineage: Eukaryota; Viridiplantae; Streptophyta; Lycopodiopsida; Selaginellales; Selaginellaceae.
UUGUACGCAGUGCCGAGAAUCGCCAAGUUUUUUUAUUUCAGCUGGAUCCCUUACCCGGACGACUUUACCUGAUAAUGGCGCCACAGAUUUCGGCCAUCCUCUCCUUCACAGGAGCAGAGCGGAUACGGGUCGUCAACACCGGAAAAUACCCAGAUCUCUCUUCUUGGCCGGAACCCGGGAAGUGGCAUCGCCUUUUCUGGUUUCGGAUGCAGCCGGUAGCUCUUCUCACAUUUGACCCUGGCAGGUGGAUUUGGCCUGGGGUGGCAGAUGUUCCUGAUGAGGAGUUUUUCGCCUACUCGGUCUGGGGAGCCCGGUUACGACAAGCACCGCUUGCUCCUACGGGACUUCAGGCUGCAGCGAAGAAGGCAGGAGUUCACGAGACUUUCACUGGAUCACUACCACGCUGUGGGAAGGUCCACUACCA